This is a long non-coding RNA of Clarias gariepinus (North African catfish), 943 nucleotides long. RefSeq lists it as uncharacterized. Lineage: Eukaryota; Metazoa; Chordata; Actinopteri; Siluriformes; Clariidae. The record is from RefSeq and is a predicted model, not a curated record. The transcript is spliced from 3 exons.
CUCAUAAACAUGGCUUGGUCCUGACUCAGCAGCUGUGGGUGGUGUUCUUGGGCUUGAGCCCAUAUUUACAAGUCCUGCAAGAGGGAAAGUACCUGUCUUUCCUUAGCCUCAUGUAACUAAAACAGUAUCAAUGCAGUCUUUUUUUGUAAUUGAUUGAUAUUUUUAAAAUAGGUUUAAAAUAAAUAAAAAAUCUCACGGAUAUGUUUUUCAAAAAAGGCACGGCAAGUAAUACUGUUCUUAGUAUUCGAGCAGCUCUGCUUGUACAAAUGUGCUUUCUGCGUUUAUUUGAAAUGUGUGUGCCCAAAUACAUCAGCGCAGUUUUAGAACAUGAAGCUUUUACUUUUAUUCAUCUAUCUCUGUCAGCUGUAUUGUUAUAUAUGUAUUGAAAGGUAAAGGUCAUGUGUUUGUGGCUCUCACUUCUUCAGUCAUGAAGCACAUUUUUGUGGUGUGAAUAAAGUUUUGGACAAUUCGAGAUUUAGGCACUAAAUUCCAUUUCUCUCCCCUUAGCACAACUGCUCUGUGUAUGCACACACAGAUGUGAACCACACACUGGCUAACGUCAUCAAGAGAACUAAAGGACAAAAUGUACUGAAUUGAUGUAUUUUUAUAAAGUCACCACUGUGCCUGGUUCAAAGUUCCACCAGCAUAAGAUUUACACACACAGCCUUUUGUCCGUGGGAAACUUUGGGCACAGGCCUCACAUAUAAGCGCGGUAUGGGAGUCAAGAGUGGGUGCAGAAUCUGCCAGCCAAGGGGCUGCCUAUGCUCCCGGGAAAAAGCUGCUGAUGCCUGCCACUCUCGCACGUACCCUCUGUAUUUGGCACCAACACUCUGUUGACACUCGCCACAGAAAGAAGCACCAUAGUAAGUGAAAACUGCAUAUGUGUGGAGCUAUCACAACAUGCCAUGCUUACAUACCAAGAUAGGCCUGGAAAUACUAAGAA